AAGUCGUAACAAGGUUUCCGUAGGUGAACCUGCGGAAGGAUCAUUACCGAUUUGAGCGAGCCUGGUCUUCUUGAUCAUGGGUCUCGCAAAACAUUGUAUUUAAAACCCCACUCUUGUAAUUAUAAACAAUAUUAUAUUAUGAUAAAUAAAGAUCACUUUCAACAACGGAUCUCUUGGCUCUC
Molecule: unclassified non-coding RNA, 182 nt
Filed under: fungal sp.
Lineage: Eukaryota; Fungi
Also listed under: 1 other name
Description: partial internal transcribed spacer region
Rfam family: Eukaryotic small subunit ribosomal RNA (bases 1-46)
Source: RNAcentral